GGUGGUCCUCCCACUUCAGCUUCCCAAGUAGCUGGGACUACAGAUCUUCAUGUCCCUCUGUGAGACUUUUGCAUGUGAGUUGGGUGGUACAGGAAAGUCAUGUACUUGCUCAUAUCUGACUGCAGUGAAACUAAAUGUCAAAGGCUCAGUGGGAAAAGAAAAGGAAGGAGUGGCACCAGCUAACCCCCAGCUGAGGAAGAUUUCAAUGACUGGUUGCUUAACUGAGUUCGGAUUUUUAAAAGCAGGGAAAGUGAAGAUAGUUAACAAUAAAAGGAAAGAAACUGGGACCCAGGAAAAGAUAAACUGUGAAUAUUUAGUAUUAAUUGGUAUCUCAAGAGACAGAGUCUUGGUCUUUGAGCACAGAGAAGAGUCAUUACAUGGAAAGAGAUUUGUUCUGUAUUUCCCACCACUUAGAGAGAAAAAUAUGCAUAAAACUCCAGCAGAAACUUUUAACGUUAAAUUGCAAUAAAAAUUUCAGUAAAUAA
This is a non-coding RNA of Macaca mulatta (Rhesus monkey), 485 nucleotides long. The record is from RefSeq and is a predicted model, not a curated record. Lineage: Eukaryota; Metazoa; Chordata; Mammalia; Primates; Cercopithecidae.